AGACCUAAAUUGGUCUUUCAGCCACAUUUACUAAUACUAAGUAAAGAUUACUUAGUAUUAGUAAAUGAUCUGCCCCUACUCGCUAUGCAGCGAGUAGGGGCAUGUCUAGUAAGCAGUGAGCAGCCAGUGGCUGCUCACUGUAAAAAAACAAACAAACAAACAAACAAAAAAAAACCUAUUAGCUCCCACCCCUGUGCAACGGGUGGGGGCCAUUAAUUACAAUGGGGGGGAGGCCCUACUGUCCUCCCCCCCGGCCCCCACCCCUGCACGGUGGGUGGGGGCCAUAAAAAUAAUGAGGGGGGGACCUACUGUCCUCCCCCACCCCUGAGCAGCGGGUGGGGGCCCUAAAUACUAAAAAGGGGGGGGGACCUAAGGUCCUCCCCCCUGGCCCCC
This is a non-coding RNA of Pelobates cultripes (western spadefoot toad), 393 nucleotides long. Lineage: Eukaryota; Metazoa; Chordata; Amphibia; Anura; Pelobatidae. The record is from the annotation of a GenBank genome assembly.